CCCCCCCUCUCUGCCCAGGAAUCCUUCUGGCGCAUCCCGGCCGCCCUCACCCCGCAGCAGCUCCGGCGUGCGGCCGCCUCCAUCGCCCACCGUGGCCCCUCAGGAGCCCCCCAGGACCUGCCAGAGCCACCCAAGUGCCCCCAGGACCUGGCUCCAGCAGAGCCGGCAGGGCUGGGAUCGGACUCGGAGAGCGAGGAGCCCGUCCCCGUCCCCAGCCCAGUGCAGCCGCGCACCAAGAGGCGCCGGGAGCUCACCAGCGAGGAUGAGGACGGUGGGAGCUCAGGUGGGUUCAGCCCCUCUGUUCACUCCUGGGUGUCACCAGGGGCACGGCUGAGCCAGGGUUGUCCUGUCCCUGUCCCCUCUGCCACAUCCCUGGGGGGCUCAGCCCUCUCCCUCCAUCCCCAGGCACCGAACCGGCCCCUGCGGCUCCCUGCUCCGAGGAGGAUGAGGAGGAUGAAGGUCCACAGCCCCAGGGGAGGCGGAAGCGCAUCCGCUGCCUGGAUGAGGAAGAGGAGGACGACUGAGUGGCUCCCCAUACCACGCCUGUGCCCAGGCCCUGUGCUGUUUCCUGGGCUUUUUGCAGAUUUUAUUGGAUUUCUGCAGGUUUUCUGCAGGUUUUCUGGUGUUUCUACAGGUUUUCUGGGGUUUCUGCAGAUUUUCUUCUGCAGGUUUUGAUGCUGCUUUUAAAGGCUGCACAAGCAACCAGUUUCUUCGCCUUCCCCCACCUUCCCCUGGUGUCACCAUCUCCGUUUUACCCCAAAUUCCCUCUUUUUCUUCAGCUCUUGGGGGUUUUUUUUCCUAAAACUUUUUACGUCUGGACAGGGCCUAAAUAAAUAAAGGUGACUUUUGGCCUUCUUGGGUGUG
RNAcentral lists this long non-coding RNA (864 nucleotides) under Cyanistes caeruleus (blue tit). RNAcentral's name for it is "lncRNA (ENSCCEG00000005589.1)". Lineage: Eukaryota; Metazoa; Chordata; Aves; Passeriformes; Paridae. The record is from RNAcentral.